Molecule: long non-coding RNA, 671 nt
Organism: Oncorhynchus tshawytscha (Chinook salmon)
Lineage: Eukaryota; Metazoa; Chordata; Actinopteri; Salmoniformes; Salmonidae
Source: Ensembl
GGAGGGAGAGGAGAGGAACAGGUCGAGGGGGACAGAAGAAAGGGAGGGAGAGGAGAGGAACAGGUCGAGGGGGACAGAAGAAAGGGAGGAAGAGGAACAGGUCGAGGGGGACAGAAGAAAGGGAGGGAGAGGAACAGGUCGAGGGGGCAGAAGAAAGGGAGGGAGAGGAACAGGUCGAGGGGGACAGAAGAAAGGGAGGGAGAGGAGAGGAUCAGGUCGAGAGGGACAGAAGAAAGGGAGGGAGAGGAACAGGUCGAGGGGGACAGAAGAAAGGGAGGAAGAGGAACAGGUCAAGGGGGACAGAAGAAAGGGAGGGAGAGGAGAGGAACAGGUCGAGAGGGACAGAAGAAAGGGAGGGAGAGGAGAGGAACAGGUCAAGGGGGACAGAAGAAAGGGAGGGAGAGGAGAGGAACAGGUCGAGAGGGACAGAAGAAAGGGAGGAGAGGAGAGGAACAGGUGGAGGGGGACAGAAGAAAGGGAGGGAGAAGAACAGGUCGAGAGGGACAGAAGAAAGGGAGGAAAGGAGAGGAACAGGUCGAGGGGGACAGAAGAAAGGGAGGGAGAAGAAGAGGUCGAGGGGGACAGAAGAAAGAGAGGAGAGGAACAGGUCGAGGGGGACAGAAGAAAGGGAGGGAGAGGAGAGGAACAGGUCGAGAGGGACAGAAGAAAGG